GAUGAACGCUGGCGGCGUGCCUAAUACAUGCAAGUCGAGCGAACGGACGAGAAGCUUGCUUCUCUGUUGUUAGCGGCGGACGGGUGAGUAACACGUGGAUAACCUACCUAUAAGACUGGGAUAACUUCGGGAAACCGGAGCUAAUACCGGAUGAUAUUUUGAACCGCAUGGUUCAAAAGUGAAAGACGGUCUUGCUGUCACUUAUAGAUGGAUCCGCGCUGCAUUAGCUAGUUGGUAAGGUAACGGCUUACCAAGGCAACGAUGCAUAGCCGACCUGAGAGGGGGAUCGGCCACACUGGAACUGAGACACGGUCCAGACUCCUACGGGAGUCAGCAGUAGGGAAUCUUCCGCAAUGGGCGAAAGCCUGACGGAGCAACGCCGCGUGAGUGAUGAAGGUCUUCGGAUCGUAAAACUCUGUUAUUAGGGAAGAACAUAUGUGUAAGUAACUGUGCACAUCUUGACGGUACCUAAUCAGAAAGCCACGGCUAACUACGUG
This 497-nucleotide ribosomal RNA is filed under the name uncultured bacterium. RNAcentral describes it as "partial 16S ribosomal RNA". It matches the Rfam family "Bacterial small subunit ribosomal RNA", at positions 28 to 507 of the family's 1533-position model. The record is from RNAcentral.